AGUGAACGCUGGCGAUAGGCCUAACACAUGCAAGUCGAACGGCAGCACAGUAAGAGCUUGCUCUUACGGGUGGCGAGUGGCGGACGGGUGAGGCAUACAUCGGAAUCUACUUUUUCGUGGGGGAUAACGUAGGGAAACUUACGCUAAUACCGCAUACGACCUACGGGUGAAAGCAGGGGAUCUUCGGACCUUGCGCGAUUGAAUGAGCCGAUGUCGGAUUAGCUAGUUGGCGGGGUAAAGGCCCACCAAGGCGACGAUCCGUAGCUGGUCUGAGAGGAUGAUCGGCCACACUGGAACUGAGACACGGUCCAGACUCCUACGGGAGGCAGCAGUGGGGAAUAUUGGACAAUGGGCGCAAGCCUGAUCCAGCCAUACCGCGUGGGUGAAGAAGGCCUUCGGGUUGUAAAGCCCUUUUGUUGGGAAAGAAAAGCAGCAGGUUAAUACCCCGCUGUUCUGACGGUACCCAAAGAAUAAGCACCGGCUAACUUCGUG
RNAcentral lists this ribosomal RNA (492 nucleotides) under uncultured bacterium. RNAcentral's name for it is "partial 16S ribosomal RNA". It matches the Rfam family "Bacterial small subunit ribosomal RNA", at positions 29 to 507 of the family's 1533-position model. The record is from RNAcentral.